CGGUAGAGAGAAGCUUGCUUCUCUUGAGAGCGGCGGACGGGUGAGUAAUGCCUAGGAAUCUGCCUGGUAGUGGGGGAUAACGUUCGGAAACGGACGCUAAUACCGCAUACGUCCUACGGGAGAAAGCAGGGGACCUUCGGGCCUUGCGCUAUCAGAUGAGCCUAGGUCGGAUUAGCUAGUUGGUGGGGUAAUGGCUCACCAAGGCGACGAUCCGUAACUGGUCUGAGAGGAUGAUCAGUCACACUGGAACUGAGACACGGUCCAGACUCCUACGGGAGGCAGCAGUGGGGAAUAUUGGACAAUGGGCGAAAGCCUGAUCCAGCCAUGCCGCGUGUGUGAAGAAGGUCUUCGGAUUGUAAAGCACUUUAAGUUGGGAGGAAGGGUUGUAGAUUAAUACUCUGCAAUUUUGACGUUACCGACAGAAUAAGCACCGGCUAACUCUGUGCCAGCAGCCGCGGUAAUACAGAGGGUGCAAGCGUUAAUCGGAAUUACUGGGCGUAAAGCGCGCGUAGGUGGUUUGUUAAGUUGGAUGUGAAAUCCCCGGGCUCAACCUGGGAACUGCAUUCAAAACUGACUGACUAGAGUAUGGUAGAGGGUGGUGGAAUUUCCUGUGUAGCGGUGAAAUGCGUAGAUAUAGGAAGGAACACCAGUGGCGAAGGCGACCACCUGGACUAAUACUGACACUGAGUGCGAAAGCGUGGGGAGCAAACAGGAUUAGAUACCC
Molecule: ribosomal RNA, 724 nt
Filed under: uncultured bacterium
Lineage: Bacteria
Description: bacterial SSU rRNA
Rfam family: Bacterial small subunit ribosomal RNA
Source: RNAcentral